Molecule: long non-coding RNA, 1224 nt
Filed under: Monodelphis domestica (gray short-tailed opossum)
Lineage: Eukaryota; Metazoa; Chordata; Mammalia; Didelphimorphia; Didelphidae
Description: lncRNA (ENSMODG00000047460.1)
Source: RNAcentral
UACACACAAGUCUCCAAAGCCCUAGGCAGAGGACUGGGCACACACUCAGGCUCUAGGCACCUUGCCAAAGCCUCACAAGCACCCUACCUGGCACACUGGCUUAAGUCUCUGCAAGAAGCGUGGGGGGGAGUGAAGGGGCAUAAUAGGGAAAGGGUGGGUUGGCCGGGGUUGGGGGGGGAGGAGGGUGGACUGCAGCCGACUUGUAGUGGUAGAGACAAGUUCAUUGCACUACUUUCCCCUUCUUUAACUAGACCUAAGAUCCUUUUGGCUGUCGCCCUCAGGAGAGCCGGCUGCAUGGCUGAAGGCUGCUCACCUCCGCGGAGGGACAACUGGGCCCCUUGGCAAGUCUACCCGGACAGAUCAGCGCAGCCAUCAGAGAUCCCACGAGCCCAACGUAGGCCUUGGGGUGCACCCGCCAGUCGCGGGGAGCACACAGCCACGUAGAGUGCACUCGACUAGGCACGUCGGGGACUCAAGGUACGCUGCACUGGGCAAAGUUUUGCGCUCUCCCUCUCCUUUUUUGGGAAAGAAAUGGACAAACUCGUAUAUCAUAUAGUACCUGGGGGACAGCCCAAGCAAACCUCCCAAAGAUAUCGCGAAAUGUUCCAGCAGACGACAGGAUUGUUUAUUCGAUAAUGGGUGGUUUUUUCUUUUUAAAUUAAAAACAGACAAGUCAGGUUUGGAUGAUUCCGGUCCCUUCUCACUAAUCGAUCACUUUAAUUUCAUCACCGAUCAUUGCAGAUGAUUCGGUAGAAAAUGCGUUGCCAGAUUUUGAGUAGAAUUAAAAGAACAAGGAACAAAAAGACCCACAGAAACACAUAAGGGACCUAACCACACCGCCCCAGCAUUCAGGUGCUAACCUACUUAUUUGAAAGUAAUUUAUUUUCCAUUUUUCCGAGUUCUCUCCUCUAACAUCCCCCCCCAGUUGAGUGCUGAAAGAAAGAAUAAGGGCUUUAACAUUUAAAUGUUGUGGUCUGGUAAUUACUUUUUUUUUUCACUUUUCCCCUAAGUUGCAAUGUGAAAACCUCACAGGGGGGUCUUUGCUGUGGAAGGACUAUAGUCCCCAAUCCAGAGCACAAGAUCUGCAAUUACAAACCCAUUAGGUGCCCCUUGCUAGCAUUAAUAUGCACAAAAUCCUGCUGUUAAUCUUAUAAUCUGUUUUGUUUCAUCAAUUGCCUUCCUAGCACUAGGGGGAAAAAGAAUAAAAAAAUGGAAAACAUUUCA